AAGGAUCCCUCUUUGUAGUCCGCAGCAGGCCAGACCGCCAGUGUGCACUGCGGGGUCUGUAUGCGUAACCCAAAGCGUGGUACGGCCAUGUAGUGCGCGAGUGAGCGAGGCUGCGUGUCUAGGAAGCUUCGCCUCGUAAGAACUGUGAGACACCCACGUAUUCUCUUAGGUGGAGGACAUCCAAGCGACCGGAGUUACAGAAGAGGAAGGGAGGAGAGCAGGAGAAAGAAGUGUCUGAACUGGCAAAUUCUCCUGGCAGCACCGAGAGCGAGAGCUGCGAGGCAGCGCUGAGGCCUCAGUUGUGGGUUCCUCUGCGGGGACGUUGUGGACUGCAUCUGGCUCAGGUUUGUGUGGGUUGCCUUUGGCCUCAUUCUCCGAGCGGCACGGGCGAAAAGGGACAGCUGGAGCGCUUACGGGCUGUGGACAGGAGCUGCCGGGGCUGAAGCUGGAGAGGCCAGAAAAAAGUAAAGCAUCUGAAGAAUAAAAUAAAGGGGAUCCAGCCGGCAGCAGCCUCCAGAUGCAGACAGGGGACAGCCUGCCUCUCUGGGUGAGGAAGGAUCCCUCUCAGUGUAGUCCUCAGCAGAUCCGAUCACCAACGUGCGCGGCAGGGUCUGUAUGCGUAACCAAAAGCACAGUACGGCCAUGCUCGUGUGAGGCUAUGUAUCUGGGAAGCCUCAUACUGUAAGAGUUGUAAGACAGCAAUCUAUUCUUCUAGGUGGAUGACAGUCAAGUGACUGGAGCUACAGAGGAGGAAAGGAGGGGGAGAGAAAGGGAGACAGAGAAAGACGUGUCCGAACAGUCAAAUUCUCCCAGCACCUCUGACAGCGGGAGCUGCGGUCAGUGAAGAAGGAGAGGGAGGCGGUGCUCCAGGCACCAGAGCAGAGAUUCCCCUGCAGCCUGUGGUGAAGACCAUGGCGAGGCAGGUUGUUCCCCUGCAGCCCAUGGAGGUCCGUGGUGGAGCAGACAUCCACCUGCGGCCCGUGGAGGACCCCACAUCGGAGCAGGUGGAUGUGCCUGAAGAAAGCUGUGACCCCAUGGAGAGCCCAUGCUGGAGCAGGCUCCUGUCAGCAGCUGUGGCCCCGUGGAGAGGAGCCCAUGCUGGAGGAGGUUUGCUGGCAGGACCUGUGGCCCCAUGGGAGGGACCCCACGCUGGAGCAGAAGAGGAGCAUGAGGAGGAAGGAGCAGCAGAGACAACAUGUGAUGAACUGACUGCAACCCCUGCUCCCUGUCCCCCUGCGCUGCUCGGGGGGAGGAGGUGGAGAAGUCAGGAGUGAAGAUGAG
Molecule: long non-coding RNA, 1281 nt
Organism: Gymnogyps californianus (California condor)
Lineage: Eukaryota; Metazoa; Chordata; Aves; Accipitriformes; Cathartidae
Exons: 3
Source: RefSeq, a predicted model, not a curated record